CAGCAGCCGCGGUAAUACGAAGGGUGCAAGCGUUACUCGGAAUUACUGGGCGUAAAGCGUGCGUAGGUGGUGGUUUAAGUCCGUUGUGAAAGCCCUGGGCUCAACCUGGGAAUUGCAGUGGAUACUGGGUCACUAGAGUGUGGUAGAGGAUAGUGGAAUUUCCGGUGUAGCAGUGAAAUGCGUAGAGAUCGGAAGGAACAUCUGUGGCGAAGGCGACUAUCUGGGCCAACACUGACACUGAGGCACGAAAGCGUGGGGAGCAAACAGGAUUAGAUACCCCGGUAGUCCCUGUCUCUUAUAA
RNAcentral lists this ribosomal RNA (301 nucleotides) under uncultured bacterium. RNAcentral's name for it is "partial 16S ribosomal RNA". It matches the Rfam family "Bacterial small subunit ribosomal RNA", at positions 509 to 809 of the family's 1533-position model. The record is from RNAcentral.